Molecule: ribosomal RNA, 253 nt
Filed under: uncultured bacterium
Lineage: Bacteria
Description: partial 16S ribosomal RNA
Rfam family: Bacterial small subunit ribosomal RNA
Source: RNAcentral
UACAGAGGUGACUAACGUUGUCCGGAAUUAUUGGGCGUAAAGGGUGCGUAGGUGGGCUGGUAAGUCAGUGGUGAAAUCUCCAGGCUUAACUUGGAAACUGCCAUUGAUACUAUCAGUCUUGAAUACCGUGGAGGUCAGCGGAAUAUGUCAUGUAGCGGUGAAAUGCUUAGAUAUGACAUAGAACACCAAUUGCGAAGGCAGCUGGCUACACGAAUAUUGACACUGAUGCACGAAAGCGUGGGGAUCAAACAGG